GAUGAAGAACGUAGCGAAAUGCGAUAAGUAGUGUGAAUUGCAGAAUUCAGUGAAUCAUCGAAUCUUUGAACGCACAUUGCGCCUCCUGGCAUUCCGGGAGGCAUGCCUGUUCGAGCGUCAUCAAACCCCAUCGUGCAAAUGAAUUAUUUUUUUUGCGCGGAAGUGACGAUUGAGCGAGAAUAACAAAUCCUCUCGCACCUCGUCGAAAUGAUUGCGGGCGGAAUUUGGGAUCGGGUUCCUCGGCGUAGUGUAUCAAUGCAUAUUUAUGCAACUUGCCGCGGAGUUGAGCCUGACCCACGCGUUCUCGCCGUACAAACACCUCAUUACUUUACAAGUUUUUGACCUCGGAUCAGGUAGGAAUACCCGCUGAACUUAAGCAUAUCAAUAAGCGGAGGA
Molecule: unclassified non-coding RNA, 396 nt
Filed under: soil metagenome
Description: partial contains 5.8S ribosomal RNA, internal transcribed spacer 2, and large subunit ribosomal RNA
Rfam family: 5.8S ribosomal RNA (bases 1-120)
Source: RNAcentral